CCCUUAGAUGUUCUGGGCCGCACGCGCGCUACACUGAUGCAUUCAACGAGUCUAAAACCUGCUCUGAUAGGGGUGGGUAAUCUUUUGAAUGUGCAUCGUGAUUGGGAUAGAUGAUUGCAAUUUUUCAUCUUCAACGAGGAAUGCCUAGUAAACGCAAGUCAUCAGCUUGCAUUGAUUACGUCCCUGCCCUUUGUACACACCGCCCGUCGCUCCUACCGAUUGAAUGAUCCGAUGAAUAUCAUGGAUUGAGGAUUAUAGCAGGUUCGCCUGUCUUGAUCUUCGAGAAGUGAAGUAAAUCUUAUCAUUUAGAGGAAGGAGAAGGCGUAACA
This 329-nucleotide ribosomal RNA is filed under the name uncultured eukaryote. RNAcentral describes it as "partial 18S ribosomal RNA". It matches the Rfam family "Eukaryotic small subunit ribosomal RNA", at positions 1470 to 1796 of the family's 1831-position model. The record is from RNAcentral.